Molecule: long non-coding RNA, 1925 nt
Organism: Aedes albopictus (Asian tiger mosquito)
Lineage: Eukaryota; Metazoa; Arthropoda; Insecta; Diptera; Culicidae
Exons: 2
Source: RefSeq, a predicted model, not a curated record
UCAUGCUUUUGGUGAGCAAAUCUAAAAAAAAUGAACACUUUGAAAGCGCAUUUAACACCUCAUCUCCCGUCGUACCUAUGGACCGACCGCGACCUGAUGAUGGCUCGGGUUGGGUGGCUUACUUUACAUCCACUUCGUUCGGUUCGAUUCAGUCGUAACCGCGACGUCGAGAGAGGAGCAUUCGAUCGAGGCGUUUAAGCACCGCGCGAGUUCAGUGGAACUGGGGCUCUGCCUUUUGUGUGUCCGUCGUCGUUCACUGUAUGGGGGGGAGCGAGUGAUAGUGUUGGAUUAAGUGGUAUGUACUUUGCAAUUGAAAAUUGGGCUUUUCUUUGCGAUUUUUCCGGAUCGAAACAGGUGAAACCGUGCGACAGAAGGUGUGCACUAGUGAAUGGAGUGAAAAAUUGCCAGAAUUGGAUCGAUUUUCCCGGGAGAAAUGGGAAAAACAUGAAGCCCCAUUCGCAGUGAAUAGGCCAUCAAGGUGGUUCAAGAAGAAGAAGGUGUCGGUGGUGUGGAGCUCCAUAGAACACCAUAGAUCGGUAGUGGUGGAGCAGUGCUAGGCGAAAAGCCGUGGUGGUGGAGAACGAAACCAGCUGAAAGUAGCUAGAAGUUAGAAAUGUUAGAAACGGUCGUGUGUGGAAUGUUCUUAAAGGCAUCACACAGAGAAGAAUAACAUUAAAGUUCUCAAUUUGCAGCUUAAGUUUUGCCUUCUUGUGAUUCAAUAUUAAGUGCAUGGGAAGAUGUAAAACGUUGUGUCCUGCUGUAACCAACCAACCAGUCCAAGUGCGAUCAAGUUAAGCAGCAAAGAGUGAAAGUGGAGGAAAAACAAGUUUUCCAUAGUGCGAAGCAUCAAGCCAGCAACGUCAACUACAGGCUCUAAAACUACAGCAUGCGAAAGGCUUUACAGUCGUCAGUGUAGAUUCAACCAGUGCAAAUGUAACCCGAGAAGCUGACCAAGAAGAAAUAGCCUACUAUAUGUGUGUUACUGCUGCUUACAGAUCACUGGAUCAGUAGGAAUACAAGUGUUUGAGGGGGGUGUUGCUACGUGCGAAUUAUAUAAUUGCAAACCGACCUGGGAUCUAUCACGUCCGUUCCAGAGGAAGCCUUUUAAAACCGCUAAAACAGAUCUACGGAUAGUGGAGCAUUCGUGUCUAUAUCUACGUGCGUUCAACUUCAAUGUAUCUGCUGCUCUAGCUGCUAGAAGAUCAAAACGUGGCGAAGUGAAAAUAAACAUUUCAAUUUGGUGAAGCUGGAAUGGAAUAGGCAGGCAUUUGAAAUUGAAGAUCGAACAGUCAGUGAUUGGAUGUGCGUCGUCUGUCUGAGAGUACGUCCUAUACAUGUGUUGCACCACUACACUAUACUGUAUGUGCUAGAAGCCGGGGGAAUUUGCAUUGAAGAAGAAGGUGAAUGAGGUCAAGAUCGCGACUGUGAUCAUCAGUUUUAUCGUUUAUUGCCUGCUGCUGCAGCCAUACGUGAGAAUAGCUGAGUGCGUACGUGUGUGGUUGAAGUGAAUAUUGAAGCUGUCGAUUGCAAUUUGGUGUGGUUCCAGUAAAGGCGUGGCGGGUGCACCAGGGGCUGUAAUUGUCCACGGUAAGUGUUGAGAGAUGGUUGGUGGGUGGCAAAUGGGGGAGACAACAAUAAACAAUGCGCCCGCACAAUAUAAUCAUCAUCAUCAAUUAAAUGUUCAUCCCAUAAUACCUAGGCCAGGGGUUCUCAAAAUUUUUGAGCUUGCGACCCACUUUUGAUUCUAAUAAAAUUUGGCGACCCACCAUAAAAUACGUUUUUUUAUUUGGACUGAUAUUAAAUAAUUGGCUGUGCAGGUUUUGAUAAACUUACGUUAUACGGUACUCAAACUUUAAAAAAUAGUUUUUUGCUUUUCUAACAAAAUUAUAACAUAUUUUUUUGAAAAGUAAGUAAGUGCCAAUAAA